Molecule: small nuclear RNA, 74 nt
Organism: Oryctolagus cuniculus (rabbit)
Lineage: Eukaryota; Metazoa; Chordata; Mammalia; Lagomorpha; Leporidae
Gene: U2
Rfam family: U2 spliceosomal RNA
About the family: U2 is a small nuclear RNA (snRNA) component of the spliceosome (involved in pre-mRNA splicing). Complementary binding between U2 snRNA (in an area lying towards the 5' end but 3' to hairpin I) and the branchpoint sequence (BPS) of the intron results the bulging out of an unpaired adenosine, on the BPS, which initiates a nucleophilic attack at the intronic 5' splice site, thus starting the first of two transesterification reactions that mediate splicing.
Source: Ensembl
AUCACUUCUCAGCCUUUUGGCUAAGAUCAAGUGUAAAAUAAUGAAUCUUUUAUUUUGAUUUCUUGGAACUCCAU